GGGCACCAAGUCAUUAAGGGGAAAGCUGGGUUCGAGCCUCGAUUCUUUUAAAUACCGUCAAAGGAUCGACAGCGAACAAAUGCCGUGAGGGAAAGUUGAAACGAUCCCCGAAAGGAGUAUCAAAAGACCUGAAACCAUGAUCGUGGAAACUAAUUGACACGUAACCGUUGAUGUCUUUUGAGGAAGUCAUUUAUUUAUUCACGUUAAGAUCAGACCCAUCUUGAAACACGGAUCAAGGAGUUGUUCACUAUUGCGAGCAGAACAGUGAAAAACUGGAAUGCGUAGAGAAAUCAAAGCGAUUUUCAAAACAGACCAAUAAUCUAUUGAGUUAGAGUGGUAGUGAUCAGACCCGAAAGAUGGAAAAGAAAUUCUGAUGGAAGCUUUAAGCGACACUGAUGUGCAAAUCGCUCGUAAAAUUCGAUUAUAGGGGCGAAAGACUCAUCGAACCACCCAGUGGCUGGUUCCCUCCGAAGUUUCCAUCAGGACAGCUGAAAAUAGUAAAGUUGAAACUGGUAAAGACAAUGAUUAGGGGAUCCGGAGACCUUUUGGCCUUUGACCUAUUCUCAAACUUGAGAUAGUUUCGGAAGUAUUUGACUUAAUUUCGAAUGCUUUAUCAAUUAUAUUUUCAGGUGGGCCAAUUUUGGUAAGCAGAACUGGNNNNNNNNNNNNNNNNNNNNGACACGUAACCGUUGAUGUCUUUUGAGGAAGUCAUUUAUUUAUUCACGUUAAGAUCAGACCCAUCUUGAAACACGGAUCAAGGAGUUGUUCACUAUUGCGAGCAGAACAGUGAAAAACUGGAAUGCGUAGAGAAAUCAAAGCGAUUUUCAAAACAGACCAAUAAUCUAUUGAGUUAGAGUGGUAGUGAUCAGACCCGAAAGAUGGAAAAGAAAUUCUGAUGGAAGCUUUAAGCGACACUGAUGUGCAAAUCGCUCGUAAAAUUCGAUUAUAGGGGCGAGAGACUCAUCGAACCACCCAGUGGCUGGUUCCCUCCGAAGUUUCCAUCAGGACAGCUGAAAAUAGUAAAGUUGAAACUGGUAAAGACAAUGAUUAGGGGAUCCGGAGACCUUUUGGCCUUUGACCUAUUCUCAAACUUGAGAUAGUUUCGGAAGUAUUUGACUUAAUUUCGAAUGCUUUAUCAAUUAUAUUUUCAGGUGGGCCAAUUUUGGUAAGCAGAACUGGCGAUGAGGGAUGCUCCUACCGUUUAGCAAAAGUGCCUAAGUAGAUGCAAAGGAGAUACCCAAAGGAUGUUACUUCAUUGAGACAAAGGAUGUUACUUCAUUGAGACAUCUCACCGAUUCUNNNNNNNNNNNNNNNNNNNNACGUAACCGUUGAUGUCGUUUGAGGAAGUCAUUUAUUUAUUCACAUCUUGAAACACGGAUCAAGGAGUUGUUCACUAUUGCGAGCAGAACAGUGAAAAACUGGAAUGCGUAGAGAAAUCAAAGCGAUUUUCAAAACAGACCAAUAAUCUAUUGAGUUAGAGUGGUAGUGAUCAGACCCGAAAGAUGGAGAAGAAAUUCUGAUGGAAGCUUUAAGCGAUACUGAUGUGCAAAUCGCUCGUAAAAUUCGAGUAUAGGGGCGAAAGACUAAUCGAACCACCCAGUGGCUGGUUCCCUCCGAAGUUUCCAUCAGGAUAGCUGAAAAUAGUAAAGUUGAAACUGGUAAAGACAAUGAUUAGAGGAUCCGGAGGCCUUUUGGCCUUUGACCUAUUCUCAAACUUGAGAUAGUUUCGGAAGUUUUUGACUUAAUUUCGAAUGGUUUAUCAAUUAUAUUUUCAGGUGGGCCAAUUUUAGUAAGCAGAACCGGCGAUGAGGGAUGCUCCUGCCGUUUAGCAAAAGUGCCUAAGUAGAUGCAAAGGAGGUACCCAAAGGAUGUUACUUCAUUGAGACAUCUCACCGAUUCUAAACCAGGCUUCAAAUAUUGAAGUCUGUCUAGGAGGGCGUGAGAAUUGCAAUUACAGUCAUGUGUGAACGUGAUUUGAGCGAUUCGUAGUGCAGAUCUUGGUGGUAGUAAGUAAAGUUGUGUGAAACACACAACGGCCGUGGAAUAGGGUUCCGAGAGAACAGUAAUUGUGCUCGGGUGAGUCGGUCCUGGGGCAGGUCAUGUUGAUUCUAAAUCUAUUCGAUUUAUGCCCAAAGGAAUAACGGUUGAUAUUCCGUUAUAAAAACGAUAAUUUGGUGACAAAAAGUGAUUGAUUCUUCAGAUAGUUUGGCAGCAGGCGCUUGCGACGCUUGACAAUGCUUGAAUCUUUUGAAUUGAUUUAGUUAGCGAAAAAGAUGAAACUUCCACUGUCAAUGGACAUGUUCCACGCGGACAUGUUCCACUCUCAAUGGGAUCUUUCGCCAACCUAUUUGGGCCUUGAACUUCCGAUUACUAUUUGCUAUUGUUGAUAACCGUGCCCUAAACCGCAUCAGGUCUUCAAGGUUAACAGCCUAUGGUUAAGUGGAAUAAAGUAGAUGAGGGAAGUCGG
Gregarina niphandrodes is the source of this 2467-nucleotide ribosomal RNA. It matches the Rfam family "Eukaryotic large subunit ribosomal RNA", at positions 1 to 1917 of the family's 3401-position model. The record is from Rfam. NCBI's taxonomy places the organism in Eukaryota, Apicomplexa, Conoidasida, Eugregarinorida, Gregarinidae.